GGCCGACUAGCUCAGUUGGUUAGAGCGUCGUGCUAAUACGGAUGUUGCGAGCGCACUGCUUACCCUGUGCGCUUGCAAUGUCUGUUCAACGCGAAGGUCUUGGGUUCGAUCCCCACGUUGGCCA
Molecule: transfer RNA, 124 nt
Rfam family: tRNA
About the family: Transfer RNA (tRNA) molecules are approximately 80 nucleotides in length. Their secondary structure includes four short double-helical elements and three loops (D, anti-codon, and T loops).
Source: Rfam